Molecule: long non-coding RNA, 792 nt
Organism: Marmota monax (woodchuck)
Lineage: Eukaryota; Metazoa; Chordata; Mammalia; Rodentia; Sciuridae
Exons: 3
Source: RefSeq, a predicted model, not a curated record
UGGAGGACAAACCCAAGGGUCGCCCAGAGGCGACGCAGUGCUUUGGGCUCCUUAGUCUUUGCCAGGGCUUUAGCUGUGAUGAGUACUUGUUUUUCUAAAACUUUACCCUAAUGGUUCUUGAACCCAGAUUUUUAGGCUAGUGACGCAAGACGGCCAGCAACAGCUGGGAACCUUUGAGAAACGCAGGUUCUCAGGCUCCACAAACUUACUGAAUCAGAAACUAUGGGGGCGUUUUUCCAGAUCCUCCAGGUGAUUCAGAUCCAGCCAGUGUAAUUCUACAUUAUGUAUGAAGAAGAGAGAACCAGAAGAAUGAGAAGAUAUACUGCAGGUACUAGCGAUUGAACCCAGGGGCAUUCUACCACUGAACUAUAAAUCCUACCACUGAACUAUAAAUCCUACCCCCAACUCUUAUAUAUAUAUAUAUAUUUUUAGUUUUUGAGACAAGGUCUCUUAAAUUGUGCAGGCUGGUCUGGGAACUUGCAAUUUCUCUACCUUAGCCUCCCGAGUAGCUGGGGUUAUAUGUGUGCUCAAAUUUUUGUUUCAGGGAAGUCCCUCCAGAGAAAAACACAUGACCAGUCCAAAAAAAAAAAAAAUCCUCUGAGUGAUUCUGAGUCAUUCUUCUAGGUGACUAGAGUAAAAAAUUGCUAAUUAUAAUCUCAUUAUAACUCAUGGAACAUGCAUUAGUUUCCCUGAUAAAAUUCCAUUGCCCAUGUAUUUGGGGAGAUACUUCUUUGGUGAUUAUCCCUAGUAUCCUCCUUACUUGUAUAAGUAAUAAACUCCUCUUCACUCUUA